GCCCGGAGAUGGACUCUGAGACACGAGUCCAGGCCCUACGGGGCGCAGCAGGCGCGAAAACUUCGCAAUGCAGGAAACUGUGACGAGGGAACUCCAAGUGUCCAUGCAUUGCAUGGACUGUUUGCCAGCCUAAAAAGCUGGUAGAGUAAGGGGUGGGAAAGACCGGUGCCAGCCGCCCGCGGUAACACCGGCACCUCAAGUGGUAGCCACUAUUAUUUGGGCCUAAAGCGUUCGUAGCCGGCUUUGGUUAAUUCCCUGGGAAAAUCGUACCGCUCAACGGUGCGGAUUCCGGGGACACUGCCAGGCUUGAGACCGGGGGGAGAUCAAGGUACUUGCGGGGGAGCGGUGAAAUGUUGUAAUCCCGCAGGGACCACCAAUGGCGAAGGCAUCUGGAUCAAAACCGGCUUCUGAACGGUGAAGGGACGAAAACCCCUGGGGGCGCCAACCGGGAUUAGAUACCCCCGGUUAGUCCCAG
This 475-nucleotide ribosomal RNA is filed under the name uncultured Pyrococcus sp. RNAcentral describes it as "bacterial SSU rRNA". It matches the Rfam family "Archaeal small subunit ribosomal RNA", at positions 288 to 750 of the family's 1478-position model. The record is from RNAcentral. Lineage: Archaea; Methanobacteriati; Methanobacteriota; Thermococci; Thermococcales; Thermococcaceae.